UACGUAGGCAGCAAGCGUUGUUCGGAGUUACUGGGCGUAAAGGGUGUGUAGGCGGUUGUUUAAGUUUGGUGUGAAAUCUCCCGGCUCAACUGGGAGGGUGCGCCGAAUACUGAAUGACUUCGAGUGCGGGAGAGGAAAGUGGAAUUCCUGGUGUAGCAGUGAAAUGCGUAGAUAUCAGGAGGAAUACCGAUGGCGAAGGCAGGUCUCUGGGCUGACACUGACGCUCAUGCACGAAAGCGUGGGGAGCAAACAGG
Molecule: ribosomal RNA, 254 nt
Filed under: uncultured bacterium
Lineage: Bacteria
Description: partial 16S ribosomal RNA
Rfam family: Bacterial small subunit ribosomal RNA
Source: RNAcentral